CGAGUGAAGCGGCCAGAGCCCAAGAUGGUAAUCUCCGUGCUGCGCACGGCGAAUUGUAAUCUAGAGAGGCUAUGCUCACCGGGUGGUGGCGCAGAAGUGCCCUGGAACGGGCCGCCAGAGAGGGUGACAGCCCCGUACGUGGUGCCGCCGCCUAACGAGCAGGUCUUCAAAGAGUCGGGUUGUUUUGUAUUGCAGCCCUAAGUGGGAGAUAAACUUCUUCUAAGGCUAAAUAUAUGUGGGAAACCGAUAGCGAACAAGUACUGUGAAGGAAAGAUGAAAAGCACUUUGGAAAGAGAGUCAAAAGACCUGAAACCGUUGAGGAGGAAGCGGUAGAGAUGAAUUCUACGGCGAGGCGCUGGGAAGCCGGCCUAACCAUGGCGGGCAGGUCGUACGUCAAAGGCGGCAGUCUGUCCAAGGGGAAGCCGGUGGCUUGCGCGGCGUUGUGAGGCCGGAUGGGGUGACGUGAUCACAGAGGCCUGCUGGGCCUGGCUCAAUUCGUUGAGCAGCCCGGGAGUGCCGGUGGCCGCGUGGCCUGAGGGUGCUUUGUGCGAUCCGGUCAAAAUGGUCUUUACCGACCCGUCUUGAAACACGGACCAAGGAGUCUAACGUACGCGCGAGUGUGCCGGUGGAGAAACCGACACGCGUAAUGAAGGUGAGUGAUGCCAAGCGCAAGCAGCAGCAUCGACCGACCAUGAUCCUCUGGAGAAAGGUUUGAGUAUGAGCGUGUCCGCUAGGACCCGAAAGAUGGUGAACUAUGCCUGCGUAGGGU
Molecule: ribosomal RNA, 769 nt
Filed under: Apostrombidium orientale
Lineage: Eukaryota; Ciliophora; Spirotrichea; Strombidiidae
Description: partial large subunit ribosomal RNA
Rfam family: Eukaryotic large subunit ribosomal RNA
Source: RNAcentral